CGAGAAGGUACCUUCGGGUACUGGAGAGUGGCGCACGGGUGAGUAACGCGUGGGGACCUACCUCUUAGUGGGGGAUAACGGUUGGAAACGACCGCUAAUACCGCAUACGCCCUUCGGGGGAAAGAUUUAUCGCUAAGAGAUGGACCCGCGUUGGAUUAGAUAGUUGGUGAGGUAAUGGCUCACCAAGUCGGCGAUCCAUAGCUGGUUUGAGAGGAUGAUCAGCCACACUGGGACUGAGACACGGCCCAGACUCCUACGGGAGGCAGCAGUGGGGAAUAUUGGACAAUGGGGGCAACCCUGAUCCAGCCAUGCCGCGUGAGUGAAGAAGGCCUUCGGGUUGUAAAGCUCUUUCAGAUG
Molecule: ribosomal RNA, 357 nt
Filed under: marine bacterium SIMO-IS195
Lineage: Bacteria; Pseudomonadati; Pseudomonadota; Alphaproteobacteria
Description: bacterial SSU rRNA
Rfam family: Bacterial small subunit ribosomal RNA
Source: RNAcentral